GAUGAACGCUGGCGGCGUGCCUAAUACAUGCAAGUCGAGCGAACGGACGAGAAGCUUGCUUCUCUGAUGUUAGCGGCGGACGGGUGAGUAACACGUGGAUAACCUACCUAUAAGACUGGGAUAACUUCGGGAAACCGGAGCUAAUACCGGAUAAUAUUUUGAACCGCAUGGUUCAAAAGUGAAAGACGGUCUUGCUGUCACUUAUAGAUGGAUCCGCGCUGCAUUAGCUAGUUGGUAAGGUAACGGCUUACCAAGGCAACGAUGCAUAGCUGACCUGAGAGGGUGAGCGGCCACACUGGAACUGAGAGACGGUCCAGACUCCUACGGGAGGCAGCAGUAGGGAAUCUUCCACAAGGGGCGAAUGCCUGACGGUGCAACGCCGCGUGAGUGAUGAAGGUCUUCGGAUCGUAAAACUCUGUUAUUAGGGAAGAACAUAUGUGUAAGUAACUGUGCACAUCUUGACGGUACCUAAUCAGAAAGCCACGGCUAACUACGUG
RNAcentral lists this ribosomal RNA (497 nucleotides) under uncultured bacterium. RNAcentral describes it as "partial 16S ribosomal RNA". It matches the Rfam family "Bacterial small subunit ribosomal RNA", at positions 28 to 507 of the family's 1533-position model. The record is from RNAcentral.